RNAcentral lists this ribosomal RNA (310 nucleotides) under uncultured Vannella. RNAcentral describes it as "partial Bacterial small subunit ribosomal RNA". It matches the Rfam family "Bacterial small subunit ribosomal RNA", at positions 11 to 323 of the family's 1533-position model. Lineage: Eukaryota; Discosea; Flabellinia; Vannellidae. The record is from RNAcentral.
GUUUGAUCCUGGCUCAGAUUGAACGCUGGCGGCAUGCCUAACACAUGCAAGUCGAACGAUGAUUACUAGCUUGCUAGUAUGAUUAGUGGCGGACGGGUGAGUAAUAUAUAGGGAUCUGCCUGUUAGUGGGGGACAACAGCCGGAAACGGCUGCUAAUACCGCAUACGCUCUACGGAGGAAAGUGGGGGACCCUCGGGCCUCACGCUAACAGAUGAACCUAUAUCAGAUUAGCUAGAUGGUGGGGUAAAGGCCUACCAUGGCGACGAUCUGUAGCUGGUUUGAGAGAAUGAUCAGCCACACUGGGACUGAG